GAUAGAUGAUACAAGCAUUAUCCGGAAUGAUUGGGCAUAAAGUGUCUGUAGGUGGCUUUUCAAGUCUGCCGUCAAAUCCUAGGGCUCAACCUUGGACAGGCGGUGGAAACUUCCAAGCUGGAGUAUGGUAGGGGCAGAGGGAAUUUUUGGUGGAGCAGUGAAAUGCAUUGAGAUCGGAAAGAACACCAACGGCGAAAGCACUCUGCUUGGCCGACACUGACAUUGAGAGACGAAAGCUAGGGGAGCAAAUGGG
RNAcentral lists this ribosomal RNA (253 nucleotides) under uncultured bacterium. RNAcentral describes it as "partial 16S ribosomal RNA". It matches the Rfam family "Bacterial small subunit ribosomal RNA", at positions 524 to 776 of the family's 1533-position model. The record is from RNAcentral.